RNAcentral lists this ribosomal RNA (433 nucleotides) under uncultured bacterium. RNAcentral's name for it is "partial 16S ribosomal RNA". It matches the Rfam family "Bacterial small subunit ribosomal RNA", at positions 29 to 507 of the family's 1533-position model. The record is from RNAcentral.
AACGAACGCUGGCGGCAUGCCUAACACAUGCCAGUCGAACGAGACCUUCGGGUCUAGUGGCGCACGGGUGCGUAACGCGUGGGAACCUGCCCUUAGGUUCGGAAUAACUCCCCGAAAGGGGUGCUAAUACCGGAUAAUGUCUUCGGACCAAAGAUUUAUCGCCUUUGGAUGGGCCCGCGUUGGAUUAGCUAGUUGGUAGUGUAAAAGCCUACCAAGGCGACGAUCCAUAGCUGGUCUGAGAGGAUGAUCAGCCACACUGGGACUGAGACACGGCCCAGACUCCUACGGGAGUGAGCAGUAGGGAAUAUUGGAAAAGGGGCGAAAGCCUGAUCCAGCAAUGCCGCGUGAGUGAUGAAGGCCUUAGGGUUGUAAAGCUCUUUUACCCGGGAUGAUAAUGACAGUACCGGGAGAAUAAGCUCCGGCUAACUCCGUG